RNAcentral lists this ribosomal RNA (428 nucleotides) under Bacteroidota bacterium. Its description in RNAcentral is "Bacteroidetes bacterium partial 16S ribosomal RNA". It matches the Rfam family "Bacterial small subunit ribosomal RNA", at positions 355 to 776 of the family's 1533-position model. The record is from RNAcentral. Lineage: Bacteria; Pseudomonadati; Bacteroidota.
UAGGGAAUCUUCCGCAAUGGACGCAAGUCUGAUGGAGCAACGCCGCGUGAGUGAAGAAGGAUUUCGGUUCGUAAAACUCUGUUGUUAGAGAAGAACAGCGCAUAGAGUAACUGUUAUGCGUGUGACGGUAUCUAACCAGAAAGCCACGGCUAACUACGUGCCAGCAGCCGCGGUAAUACGUAGGUCCCGAGCGUUGUCCGGAUUUAUUGGGCGUAAAGCGAGCGCAGGCGGUUAGAUAAGUCUGAAGUUAAAGGCAGUGGCUCAACCAUUGUAGGCUUUGGAAACUGUUUAACUUGAGUGCAGAAGGGGAGAGUGGAAUUCCAUGUGUAGCGGUGAAAUGCGUAGAUAUAUGGAGGAACACCGGUGGCGAAAGCGGCUCUCUGGUCUGUAACUGACGCUGAGGCUCGAAAGCGUGGGGAGCGAACAGG